This 253-nucleotide ribosomal RNA is filed under the name uncultured bacterium. Its description in RNAcentral is "partial 16S ribosomal RNA". It matches the Rfam family "Bacterial small subunit ribosomal RNA", at positions 524 to 776 of the family's 1533-position model. The record is from RNAcentral.
UACGUAGGUGGCACGCGUUGUCCGGAUUUAUUGGGUUUAAAGGGUGCGUAGGCGGUUCCACAAGUCAGUGGUGAAAUACGGCAGCUUAACUGUCGAGGAGCCAUUGAUACUGCGGGACUUGAGUACAGACGAGGUAGGCGGAAUUGACGGUGUAGCGGUGAAAUGCUUAGAUAUCGGCAAGAACACCGAGAGCGAAGGCAGCUUACUAGACUGAAACUGACGCUGAGGCACGAAAGUGUGGGGAUCAAACAGG